This 429-nucleotide ribosomal RNA is filed under the name Actinomycetes bacterium. Its description in RNAcentral is "Actinobacteria bacterium partial 16S ribosomal RNA". It matches the Rfam family "Bacterial small subunit ribosomal RNA", at positions 355 to 776 of the family's 1533-position model. Lineage: Bacteria; Bacillati; Actinomycetota; Actinomycetes. The record is from RNAcentral.
UAGGGAAUCUUCCGCAAUGGGCGAAAGCCUGACGGAGCAACGCCGCGUGAGUGAUGAAGGUCUUCGGAUCGUAAAACUCUGUUAUUAGGGAAGAACAAAUGUGUAAGUAACUAUGCACGUCUUGACGGUACCUAAUCAGAAAGCCACGGCUAACUACGUGCCAGCAGCCGCGGUAAUACGUAGGUGGCAAGCGUUAUCCGGAAUUAUUGGGCGUAAAGCGCGCGUAGGCGGUUUUUUAAGUCUGAUGUGAAAGCCCACGGCUCAACCGUGGAGGGUCAUUGGAAACUGGAGAACUUGAGUGCAGAAGAGGAAAGUGGAAUUCCAUGUGUAGCGGUGAAAUGCGCAGAGAUAUGUAGGGACACCAGUGGCGAAGGCGACUUUCUGGUCUGUAACUGACGCUGAUGUGCGAAAGCGUGGGGAUCAAACAGG